UACGUAGGGCGCAAGCGUUGUCCGGAAUUAUUGGGCGUAAAGAGCUCGUAGGCGGUUUGUCGCGUCUGCUGUGAAAACUCGAGGCUCAACCUCGGGCUUGCAGUGGGUACGGGCAGACUAGAGUGCGGUAGGGGUGACUGGAAUUCCUGGUGUAGCGGUGGAAUGCGCAGAUAUCAGGAAGAACACCGAUGGCGAAGGCAGGUCACUGGGCCGCAACUGACGCUGAGGAGCGAAAGCAUGGGGAGCGAACAGG
Molecule: ribosomal RNA, 253 nt
Filed under: uncultured bacterium
Lineage: Bacteria
Description: partial 16S ribosomal RNA
Rfam family: Bacterial small subunit ribosomal RNA
Source: RNAcentral